Molecule: ribosomal RNA, 468 nt
Filed under: uncultured bacterium
Lineage: Bacteria
Description: partial 16S ribosomal RNA
Rfam family: Bacterial small subunit ribosomal RNA
Source: RNAcentral
GACGAACGCUGGCGGCGUGCUUAACACAUGCAAGUCGAACGGAAAGGCCCUGCGUUUGUGGGGUUCUCGAGUGGCGAACGGGUGUGUAACACGUGAGUAACCUGCCCUUGACUUUGGGAUAACUUCAGGAAACUGGGGCGAAUACCGGAUAGGAUCUCCUGCUGCAUGUGGUGGGUUGGAAAGUUUCGGCUGUUGGGGAUGGACUCGCGGCUUAUCAGCUUGUUGGUGGGGUAGUGGCUUACCAAGGCUUUGACGGGUAGCCGGCCUGAGAGGGUGACCGGCCACAUUGGGACUGAGAUACGGACCAGACUCCUACGGGAGGCAGCAGUGGGGAAUAUUGCACAAUGGGCGGAAGCCUGAUGCAGCAACGCCGCGUGCGGGAUGACGGCCUUCGGGUUGUAAACCGCUUUCGCCUGUGACGAAGCGUGAGUGACGGUAAUGGGUAAAGAAGCACCGGCUAACUACGUG